This is a long non-coding RNA of Populus nigra (black poplar), 605 nucleotides long. RefSeq lists it as uncharacterized. The record is from RefSeq and is a predicted model, not a curated record. NCBI's taxonomy places the organism in Eukaryota, Viridiplantae, Streptophyta, Magnoliopsida, Malpighiales, Salicaceae. The transcript is spliced from 2 exons.
UACUAGAAACAGGGGCUAUUAGCAUCUGAAUUUAGCAACGGAUAAUUCCGUUGCUAAAUUCAGUAACAGAUUUGCAACGGAUUAUAUAUAUAUUAUUUUUUUAAUAUCAGCAACGGAUUUUAACAACGGAAAAUCCAUUGCAAACUUUACAUUGAAUUUAGCAACGGAAAAUCCGUUGCUAAUUAAAAAAAUAAUUAUUUAAAUUUUAAUAUAAAAAUAAAUCGAACUGACUAUGCCUCUUUCAUGUGUUGUUUUCUUUGUUAUUUACUCCAUCUCUGUUGAGCAGCUCUACAAUUCAUUCAUGAGAGAGAGAGAGAGAGAGAGAGAGAGAGAGUGCAUCAAGCUGUUUUACCAUAACAGGAAGGAGGGUAGGUCUGUAGAAGAUGUAUGGAGAUGGAAAGGAGGCAUCUUAGCAUCUGGCUUUGCUGAUCAGAGAAGCUCUAGCAGAUGGGGUUUGAGAUUUUGGAGCUCGAAGAAAUAAUUUUGAAAAAUGUUGCAGAUAGAAGAAGAAUGCGACAAUUGUACUGCCAGCACAAAUACAUUGAUCGAUCGUUCUUGAGUCUUCAGUUUUUGACGAAUAAAUUAAUUCCCGAUGCGUUGAGUUA